AAAUAAGAGAGUUUGAUCCUGGCUCAGGAUAAACGCUGGCGGCGCACAUAAGACAUGCAAGUCGAACGGACUUAAUCGAUUCUUUUAGAUUCGAAGCGGUUAGUGGCGGACUGGUGAGUAACACGUAAGCAACCUGCCUAUUAGAGGGGAAUAACAGUGAGAAAUCACUGCUAAAACCGCAUAUGCCGUGAACAUCGCAUGAUGAAAACGGGAAAAGAGCAAUCUGCUAAUAGAUGGGCUUGCGUCUGAUUAGCUAGUUGGUGUGGUAAUGGCAUACCAAGGCAACGAUCAGUAGCCGGACUGAGAGGUUGAACGGCCACAUUGGGACUGAGAUACGGCCCAGACUCCUACGGGAGGCAGCAGUCGGGAAUAUUGCGCAAUGGAGGAAACUCUGACGCAGUGACGCCGCGUAUGGGAAGAAGGUUUUCGGAUUGUAAACCAUUUUAGACAAGGAAGAAACAAGACAGUACUUGUAGAAUAAGCUCCGGCUAACUACGUGCCAGCAGCCGCGGUAAUACGUAGGUAGCAAGCGUUAUCCGGAUUUAUUGGGUGUAAAGGGUGCGUAGACGGGAAGGUAAGUUAGUUGUGAAAUCCCUCGGCUCAACUGAGGAACUGCGACUAAAACUGCUUUUCUUGAGUGCUGGAGAGGAAAGUGGAAUUCCUAGUGUAGCGGUGAAAUGCGUAGAUAUUAGGAGGAA
Molecule: non-coding RNA, 698 nt
Filed under: Clostridium sp. CAG:354
Lineage: Bacteria; Bacillati; Bacillota; Clostridia; Eubacteriales; Clostridiaceae
Description: Bacterial small subunit ribosomal RNA
Rfam family: Bacterial small subunit ribosomal RNA
Source: Rfam by way of RNAcentral